GCGGCAGCGGGAAAGUAGCUUGCUACUUUUGCCGGCGAGCGGCGGACGGGUGAGUAAUGCCUGGGAAAUUGCCCAGUCGAGGGGGAUAACAGUUGGAAACGACUGCUAAUACCGCAUACGCCCUACGGGGGAAAGCAGGGGACCUUCGGGCCUUGCGCGAUUGGAUAUGCCCAGGUGGGAUUAGCUAGUUGGUGAGGUAAUGGCUCACCAAGGCGACGAUCCCUAGCUGGUCUGAGAGGAUGAUCAGCCACACUGGAACUGAGACACGGUCCAGACUCCUACGGGAGGCAGCAGUGGGGAAUAUUGCACAAUGGGGGAAACCCUGAUGCAGCCAUGCCGCGUGUGUGAAGAAGGCCUUCGGGUUGUAAAGCACUUUCAGCGAGGAGGAAAGGUCAGUAGCUAAUAUCUGCUGACUGUGACGUUACUCGCAGAAGAAGCACCGGCUAACUCCGUGCCAGCAGCCGCGGUAAUACGGAGGGUGCAAGCGUUAAUCGGAAUUACUGGGCGUAAAGCGCACGCAGGCGGUUGGAUAAGUUAGAUGUGAAAGCCCCGGGCUCAACCUGGGAAUUGCAUUUAAAACUGUCCAGCUAGAGUCUUGUAGAGGGGGGUAGAAUUCCAGGUGUAGCGGUGAAAUGCGUAAAGAUCUGGAGGAAUACCGGUGGCGAAGCGGCCCCCUGGACAAAGACUGACGCUCAGGUGCGAAAGCGUGGGGAGCAACAGGAUUAGAUUCCCUGGUAGUCCACGCCCGUAAACGAUGUCGAUUUGGAGGCUGUGUCCUUGAGACUGGCUUUCCGGAACUAACGCGUUAAAUUCGACCGCCUGGGGAGUACGGCCCCAGGUUAAACUCAAUGAAUUGACGGGGGCCCCCAACCGUGGACUGGGGUUUAUUUCAUGAACCGAAAACCUACCGGCCUGAAUUUGGAAUCUGCAAAAUUCGGAAGGCCUCGGAACAAAACAGGGCUGCUUGUUUCUCAUCCGGCGGAGAGUUGGUAAUCCCAAAGCACCCGUCUUUUCCCCCAUGGGGAAUCAGGAAUCCGGUAACCAGAAGGGGUACAGUUUGGCCUUGCGGCCCCUUAAUGGGGAAGGGCAUUUAUAAGACCAAACCUUCUUGGUGCUCCCCUGGAAAUAUACAAAAGGGGAUCCCUCCCCCCCGGGGGUAAAAAUUCUGGGGCGGUUGGGGAGAAAAAGNNNNUUACGUUAUCCUCAUUAAAAUUACAUUUCUCCCCUGCCC
Molecule: ribosomal RNA, 1231 nt
Filed under: Aeromonas hydrophila
Lineage: Bacteria; Pseudomonadati; Pseudomonadota; Gammaproteobacteria; Aeromonadales; Aeromonadaceae
Description: partial 16S ribosomal RNA
Rfam family: Bacterial small subunit ribosomal RNA (bases 1-911)
Source: RNAcentral